UACGUAGGGUGCAAGCGUUGUCCGGAUUUAUUGGGCGUAAUGAGCUCGUAGGCGGCUCGUCGCGUCGGAUGUGAAAACUCGGGGCUUAACCCCGAGCCUGCAUUCGAUACGGGCGAGCUAGAAUUCGGUAGGGGAGACUGGAAUUCCUGGUGUAGCGGUGAAAUGCGCAGAUAUCAGGAGGAACACCGAUGGCGAAGGCAGGUCUCUGGGCCGAUAUUGACGCUGAGGAGCGAAAGCGUGGGGAGCGAACAGG
RNAcentral lists this ribosomal RNA (253 nucleotides) under uncultured bacterium. RNAcentral's name for it is "partial 16S ribosomal RNA". It matches the Rfam family "Bacterial small subunit ribosomal RNA", at positions 524 to 776 of the family's 1533-position model. The record is from RNAcentral.